GACGAACGCUGGCGGCGUGCCUAAUACAUGCAAGUAGAACGCACAGUUUAUACCGUAGCUUGCUACACCAUAAACUGUGAGUUGCGAACGGGUGAGUAACGCGUAGGUAACCUGCCUGGUAGCGGGGGAUAACUAUUGGAAACGAUAGCUAAUACCGCAUAAUAUUGAUUAUUGCAUGAUAAUUGAUUGAAAGAUGCUAUUGCAUCACUACCAGAUGGACCUGCGUUGUAUUAGCUAGUAGGUGAGGUAACGGCUCACCUAGGCGACGAUACAUAGCCGACCUGAGAGGGUGAUCGGCCACACCGGGAAUGGGACACGGCCCAGACGCCUACGGGAGGCAGCAGUAGGGAAUCUUCGGCAAUGGACGAAAGUCUGACCGAGCAACGCCGCGUGAGUGAAGAAGGUUUUCGGAGCGUAAAGCUCGGUUGUAAGAGAAGAACGGGGGUGAGAGUGGAAAGUUCACACUGUGACGGUAUCUUACCAGAAAGGGACGGCUAACUACGUG
This 505-nucleotide ribosomal RNA is filed under the name uncultured bacterium. Its description in RNAcentral is "partial 16S ribosomal RNA". It matches the Rfam family "Bacterial small subunit ribosomal RNA", at positions 28 to 507 of the family's 1533-position model. The record is from RNAcentral.